CCUCCAAGGCUAAAUACUCCUGACUGACCGAUAGUGAACCAGUACCGUGAGGGAAAGGCGAAAAGAACCCCGGCGAGGGGAGUGAAAAAGAACCUGAAACCGUGUACGUACAAGCAGUGGGAGCACCCUUUGGGGUGUGACUGCGUACCUUUUGUAUAAUGGGUCAGCGACUUAUAUUCUGUAGCAAGGUUAACCGAAUAGGGGAGCCGUAGGGAAACCGAGUCUUAACCGGGCGUUAAGUUGCAGGGUAUAGACCCGAAACCCGGUGAUCUAGCCAUGGGCAGGUUGAAGGUUGGGUAACACUAACUGGAGGACCGAACCGACUAAUGUUGAAAAAUUAGCGGAUGACCUGUGGCUGGGGGUGAAAGGCCAAUCAAACCGGGAGAUAGCUGGUUCUCCCCGAAAGCUAUUUAGGUAGCGCCUCGUGAAUUCAUCUCCGGGGGUAGAGCACUGUUUCGGCUAGGGGGCCAUCCCGGCUUACCAACCCGAUGCAAACUGCGAAUACCGGAGAAUGUUAUCACGGGAGACACACGGCGGGUGCUAACGUCCGUCGUGAAGAGGGAAACAACCCAGACCGCCAGCUAAGGUCCCAAAGUCAUGGUUAAGUGGGAAACGAUGUGGGAAGGCCCAGACAGCCAGGAUGUUGGCUUAGAAGCAGCCAUCAUUUAAAGAAAGCGUAAUAGCUCACUGGUCGAGUCGGCCUGCGCGGAAGAUGUAACGGGGCUAAACCAU
RNAcentral lists this ribosomal RNA (732 nucleotides) under Salmonella enterica. RNAcentral's name for it is "partial 23S ribosomal RNA". It matches the Rfam family "Bacterial large subunit ribosomal RNA", at positions 457 to 1190 of the family's 2925-position model. The record is from RNAcentral. Lineage: Bacteria; Pseudomonadati; Pseudomonadota; Gammaproteobacteria; Enterobacterales; Enterobacteriaceae.